CCUACGGGAGGCAGCAGUGGGGGAUAUUGGACAAUGGGGGGAACUCUGAUCCAGCGACGCCGCGUGAGUGAAGAAGUAUUUCGGUAUGUAAAGCUCUGUCAGCAGGGAAGAAAGAAAUGACGGUACCUGACCAAGAAGCCCCGGCUAACUACGUGCCAGCAGCCGCGGUAAUACGGAGGGGGCAAGCGUUAUCCGGAAUUACUGGGUGUAAAGGGAGCGUAGACGGUUAAGUAAGUCUGGAGUGAAAGGCCGGGGCCCAACCCCGGGACUGCUCUGGAAACUAUUGAACUUGAGUGCAGGAGAGGUAAGCGGAAUUCCUAGUGUAGCGGUGAAAUGCGUAGAUAUUAGGAGGAACACCAGUGGCGAAGGCGGCUUACUGGACUGUAACUGACGUUGAGGCUCGAAAGCGUGGGGAGCAAACAGGAUUAGAUACCCGGGUAGUC
RNAcentral lists this ribosomal RNA (443 nucleotides) under uncultured bacterium. RNAcentral's name for it is "partial 16S ribosomal RNA". It matches the Rfam family "Bacterial small subunit ribosomal RNA", at positions 338 to 795 of the family's 1533-position model. The record is from RNAcentral.